Molecule: long non-coding RNA, 6376 nt
Organism: Physeter macrocephalus (sperm whale)
Lineage: Eukaryota; Metazoa; Chordata; Mammalia; Artiodactyla; Physeteridae
Exons: 3
Source: RefSeq, a predicted model, not a curated record
AGUCCUUCCCCUCCCCUCCAGAGCCUCCUGGACAACAGGUCCUUCCUGAGGUCUGUGGAUGCUGACUUUCAGGGGAUCAUGAGAGGCUGAGUUCCCAGAGUCCAGUCUGAGGGAAUUCUGACCAGAUCAUGUCAGCAGUGGGCACCGAUCAAGGACACCUUCUGUGGAUUCAGCCAUGAGCCAGGUCAGGGGUCAGGGAGUAGGAAUAGAAGAAUAAAGGGCACCAAGAAGUCUGCUGCUUUUAUAAACCUGUUGUCUUUCAUUUACUGCACAUUCGACUGUCUGCUGUGUGCGUAGUGCUGUACUGAUCCUGGGCACACACAGUCCUCCUGCAAGAUAGCAGCACGCGGUGCAGUGAAGCUCCCCUUAGGUACCCACUUUGAGCCCCAGGAUUCAUGUUUCCAGCUCCUGGCUUCCAACAGGACUGGGCUCCAGGCAGCAUUCCACAACAUCCUGUAAGCCUCUUCCCACUGGGUGCUAUCUGUCGUCACGCAGAGUCCCCCUGCUUCGUUCCUCACCCCUCUGGCUGCCCAGGGCUCCCUGACACCAAAGCUUCUAAGAGAAAGCUCCAGGCUGAGGACUGCUUAACUACAUAGUUUUCCUCGAGCCCAGGAAGAAUUCACUCCUGUUCUCUCUGCCCCCGGAUCCUGUACUGAUGGGAAAUCCAUACAUUACAGGUGAGGGAGCUGAGUGGCAGGGAAGAGGCACAUGUAGGCUUUCCCAGGGUCUCCCAGUGAGUCAGGCUGUGCAGCUGAUCUAGAGCCCCCAGCUGGGUGAUUCAUGCAGCCACUAGAGGCCUCAGCUGCUCCAGACCGCUCAUCAGCUCAGGCUGUCCCAUGAGUCACACCUUUGCUUCACGGGCCUGGCCCCUGGAGCCAAAGGGGCCUCACCUCACAGUUAUUCUCUUAUUCACCUGUGUCCACGGCCUUCAAGCCUCCAACAGCCAGGAGAGGGAAGGCCAGGCUCUGGCUCCAAGGAGAAGACAGGGCCAGCAGGCCCAGCUGGUUGAUUACUGGAAAACAACAUACUAAGGCUCUUCAGAGGGUAGAGAACCCCAGAAGCCAGGACUGCUGUUUGACCGUUCUUCAAAUCUGCCAGAGCCGGGAAGAAGGCACUGUGGCCAGAGGACCCCACCCACAGAGAAUUCUGAGACUCACACUGUUGACUGGACUUGCCCUCAGACAGGAGUAGCAACUGGCAAAGCAAAUGCUAUGUUUUCUGAGAGACCAGCCCAACUUUUCCAUCUACCACGGUGGGCUUGUGCCAGGGGCCACAACAAGGGCACAGCUGGGACCUCUCCGAGGGCCCUGAAGGAAGGGGCUGCCACACCAAUAAGAAGGCCCAGAUUGCCCCAGUGAGAGGCAGGCACUAGGAAAACAGUGAUGGAGCUCUUAGGGAAGCAGCGAGCUCUGAUGGGGACCCAGUUCUGUCAGCAAACCUGUUGAGCACCUAUUCUACCAGCCUCUCUGUUGAGAAAGCAGAAAUUAGUAAGACCCAGUCCUGCCCUCAAGGAUCCAGCUCAUGAUUUGGCAAGGAAGCCAGUCAGGCACAAGGCUAACCCUGGAAUAAGUCAGUCUGCAAUGUAUACAGGCAGGAGCAGAGUCUAUGAAAGGCUAAAGAAAGGAGGGACUAAGUCUGACGGAGUGGAUCGGGAAGGCCAGGAGGCUAGUCCUGGGCCAUGAUGCCAGUUGGUCUGGUAGAUGGCCUGAGACCCAGUCAGAGAUCAUGCUGAGAUUUUCAACCCAGGAGAUGGGCAUAGUGGUGGCAUUAGGGACAGAAAUGGAGUAAUUGGAAAGAGGAGUGGCUUUUAGGUGAGAUAACAGGUCAGUUGAUCUCCUUGCACUGGAGACAUGUGGAAAUCCAGACCUGAGGUGUGUGUGUGAGACUGGGGAUGAGUGCGAGGGUCUGCGGCCUAAAAACAAAGCAGCGGGAGUGAAGGAAUUCUUGGAAGAGGGAGUCAGUGCAAGGCCUGAGAUGAGGCCUUUAGACUCCUGCCACCUCUCCUUUCCCCCCAGUUGCCUUCUCACCCUCAAAUGGCGCCUCAUCUUUCUGAAUCCAGUGCUGACUCCUGCUCUGAUCCAGCUCUCGCCCUAGAGUUUGCCUGUGCACUUGAAAGCAUUUGUCCUUAUUCAUAUCCUUACUAGCAGGAGCCUGGGAAUCCUCCCAGAGGCGGCCUUUAUCGCCUAAGACUUGCCACUCGUUAGAGCACCUGCCUCUUGCAAAACUGCCCGACCACGCCUCCCUGCAGCUGCUCCUGUUCUCCAUCACAGAUACAGUACCUGGACUCCAUGAACGGUGAGGAUCUGCUUCUGACAGGGGAGCUGAACCACUUGGGGUUACCUGAGGAGACUACCCUGUAUGUUGUCUCUGCCUGGAAUGCUGUCCGCUCUUCUGACUAAAGAAAUUCCACAUGUCCCCUAAUACCACCCUCUCCUGUUCACCCCAGGCAGUAUUCUCCAGAGGAAUGAUUUUUUUACAUACCCGCCCUCCAUCCUGCACUGUGAGUACCUUCAGAGUGGGCAUUGGUGUUUGGAUCAGUCGCCUUUGUUUUUCCAGCGUCCAGCAGCGUGGCUGGACCUUAGUAGGCAUCAGUGUAAGCUUUGAUAAAUGAAAGAAGGAAUGAGUGACUAAAUCACCAAUCAUUAUCUAUACAAGCCCAACAAAAAGCCCCUUUCUGGACCAUUCUCUCAGUCGGUACUACAGUUCAGCUUAUUUUAAUAAUUCAGUACGAAGUACCUCCUUUGGCCCUCGAAUAGGAACAAAAGCCAGAUGUUCUUUCUAUAGCUAAACAUUUUUCUAUUGCAAAUUGUUAUUAUACAGAACAAGUGAAAGACAUGUUUUCUUUGCUCUCAGGGAGAUUGCUCUCUAGGAAUAAUUUUGUCCUGUAUUUGCACUCUGUAUACCUCCAGAAAGGAUCACAGCAAAUUAAGAGACACAGGUGUAAAAACUGCAAAACGAUUGAAACAAAGUUUAAGAGAUAAGAUGCAAGUAUUGGUAGGUUAGAAAACCUAGCCCGCUAAUAACCGACUUUCACGUGACUUUUUCAGCAAUUUAUAAAGUGUGAUCUCACGUGUGCAUUGUCUCGCAGCAGUCCUGUAAAAUAGGUAUUGUUCUCCUGAUUCUUAUCCCCUUUACACAAGAGACGAGACGCGACUACAGCUCAGAGAGGCCUGGAAGAUGAACCGGAGUAAGAAGGGGCCUAGAGUGCCCAGCCCUCAUCUUCAGCCCUGGGGCCCUUGCUCCCUCCCCACCCCGCACUGCUUCCCGCAGGUCAGUGAGGAAAUCUGCAGUUGAGUAUAAAACCUUGCUCUGAGCUCCCUGGAAGCCAAAGGCAGAAAUGAGACAGGCUGAAGGUUAUGUACUUCCCAUUGUCACAUGAAAGGAAUUAUACUUAUUCAUCAGAAGAAACAAAUGUUUUCCUUACUCUUCCCAGAAUAUAUUAUAGGGUCUUAAAAUGAGAACCACUGAACAAUGUUGCGAAUAGUACCCCUAAGAUUCCAGAUUUGCCUAAAAUUUUAAAAAUUGCAAGUAUUGCUUUCUUACAUCAAGCUGAGAUUAAAGCCCAGGCUACGCUUCAGCCAGUGUUUUUUGUGUUUCUGUUCUGCGCCAGACGCUGCUUGGUGUUUUCAGUUCGUAUCUCAUUUAAUCCUCAGUGACAGUUCUGUGAGGCAAGUGUUAUUUAUAAGUUCAUGUUACUGCUGAGGGGGACUGAAGCUCAGGGAAGCCCAGAUUUACCUUGCAUGCAGACUGAGGCGGUUCUGACACCCAAGUCCAAUGCUUUUAGUUCUAGAAAAGGAGUACUAGGUGGGGAAAGGGUCAGUUGUGCUACCUUAAAAAGUAAAGGGAAAACUAAAGCAGUAUUCCAGCCACGUGGGCUUCUGUGGGCACAUACACAUACUAACAGGAAAAGUCAGAACAAGGGAGUUCAGGUUCAAGGUUCAGAAAAGCUUUCGAGGAGUUGGAACAUAAAGGAUGGGCAAGGUUUAGGUAGGUGGAAAGAAAAACAGGAAGUGUGGCUCCGCGGCACGGAGCAGGAAACUUCAGACUCAAGUGGAGCAGCUGAGUCGGUUGCCAGGGAAGAAGAGGUUGCCGAGAUCCAGAUGGGGCCACUGCUCAGGGAAGCCUGGGUAACGCUGCAUCUGGCAGGGACUGUGACCUGAUGGGAGUGCAGGUGCACAGCGGCGUGCCGGGUGGAUGGGCGCAGUCAGGAAGGAUUCUAGCCAUCUAGGCUUGAAGGCCUGGGGGCAAUUGUGGAAAUACAGCGGAAGUUCAAACCCCAGAGGCAUUGCAGGGAGUAAAAUCGUCAGGACUUGAUGCCUCACUGAACAUGAAACCUGAAGAAAGCUGUUCAGGGCUCUCCUGGGAGCAGGGUGGGAGAUGGUGAUGUCUAGCAGAAGACGGGAGCGUGAAAAGAAGAAUCUUUGCAUUGCGGUUUUUUUCGGGUGCUAAUUACAUUAUCCUAUGAGAUAGGGCAGGGCAGGGAUUAUUGUCCCCACGAUGCACUAGGGAAGCAGGUCCACUGAGGAGAAACCACUUACAUAGCGAAGCUGACCAGUCUCAUGUCUUCAAGCCCCACCCCACUGCUUUGGUGCAUGUUGGUUGUGUCUGUAUGGGGAGCUGGUCUGACGGAAGAUGCAUCGGGGGGGGGGCAAGGGCAUAGGGCAGGCCUGGACCUUGGGGGAUGAUGAGGACCUCGGGGCCAAGGACUUUGGCCCUGCCUUGGGUAUAGAAGGGACACCUGAAGUCAUGAAACUGGAUGAGCUCCCAGAGACGAAAUGUGGCGGGUAGAAAAGGGAGUGGGGUGGGCGUGGGAGAAAGCAUCCACCGGGGGUUGGUGGGGACGGGGGUAGGAAGAUAGUAGGAACCAGCGUAGGAGGCGGAAUCAGGAGUAAAAGCCAGGCGUGGGCGGUGUGGGUGGACCUUCCAGGAGGAGGAGGCUCUUAAGGAGUAAGUGGGUGGAGCUUAAGGGCUUUAGACUCCCAGGAACAAGACUUGAGAGCAGGUUAUGGCAACAGUUGUGGUAUCUUGGGAGAUGCCUAGAUGAGAAAGAACGGAGAAAAAUCGGGCGGGAGAUAGGAGAGCAGGUGUUUUCAGCACAGGAAAGAACUGAAGAUGUGCAUGGGGGUGUCUGAUUAAGUGUAAAGCAAUGAGCGGAGUAGGAAGCGUCCCUCAAACGUGAGGAAUUAGGGUUAGAUCCCUCUGGAAGUGGAAGCCUGGUCUGGAGAACAAGGGCCUGGCUUUGGAGGGGAGGAGGGAAGCCUUUCCUGAGACCAGAGAUUGGAGGACAGGUGGGGGGCAAGUGAUUUUCUGAGGUGAGGGCCCAGAGGGAAGGGAGCUCACACUGGUCUCCAUGCCCGGGGAACCUAGAGUUUAUCAGCGCUUGGAGUGAGGUGGGGAGGGAAGGGGAGUGGGCAGUUUGUGGUCCGAGAACACGACAGUCCCAAAGUGAACCCUUCCCUUGGGAGCAGCCCUUUACUUGCUACCCUGGUUCUGCCCCCUUCAGCCUUCUCCCACUGCAUCCCACUGUGCCCUGACCACUGACACCAUGGACUCGGCCUUAGGGAGGACAGGCCAGACCUCAGGCCCCUGGCCAUGAUCUUCUACCCCCUCACUCCGCCCUGGUGAUAAGCACCCCUCACGAGUUUUCUGUGGCUUCCAGGGGACUUCCCUCAAGCCAUGCUGCUGAGCCCAGGGCCCAGACCCUGCCCAGGUCAAGGGCCUCCAUCCCUCUGAUGAGGCGAGAAAAGGUCCUGGAGAUCCUGGCCGGGGAUUUCCGGGAAGGGAAUCUUCAAGCACUGACCCGUUAAGUCAAAAAGUGAUAGAACGCAAUGUGAGCACUAGAAGGUACUUGGAGACCUCCAGCCUCUUGCUCUACGGAUGGGAGACUGAGGCCUUGAGGGUCUCACUCAAGUUUUCACAGUCAGGAACCAGAAUCACUGACCUGUGCUGGCUUGCUUCUUCCCUCUUUUUCUCUCUCCCUGUGGCCAGAAACAGUUCCUUCACCUCCCAGUCACCAUGUGAGAAAGAGCCUACAACAAGGCUGUACUCUAAUUGGGGGUGGAGGGCGGAACGUGGUUCCUCUAAGCUUCCAGAAUGGCUCAUGAGCUCUAAACCCCAAGCAACUGGUUUAUACCUCGGCUUAUUCUGUGGCUUAUAAUUAUUUCUCAGUCUGCCUUCCCCACUAAACAGAGUUCCUCCAGGGCACAGACCUAGUCUUACUGAUCUUUGGGACCACAGUGCUGGCCUACAGUAAGCAUUAAAUAUACAUUGGGUGGACUGAAUGGGCACAGGAAGAGGGGAUGGGGAGGGAGAUGUGGCUGGAUCAAUAAUGUUGGGGGAUUAAGAGAUCAAUGGUGGGCUUCCCUGGUGGCGGUGU